GCGGCGCAUUAGCUAGUUGGUGAGGUAACGGCUCACCAAGGCGACGAUGCGUAGCCGACCUGAGAGGGUGAUCGGCCACACUGGGACUGAGACACGGCCCAGACUCCUACGGGAGGCAGCAGUAGGGAAUCUUCCGCAAUGGACGAAAGUCUGACGGAGCAACGCCGCGUGAGUGAUGAAGGUUUUCGGAUCGUAAAGCUCUGUUGUUAGGGAAGAACAAGUGCAAGAGUAACUGCUUGCACCUUGACGGUACCUAACCAGAAAGCCACGGCUAACUACGUGCCAGCAGCCGCGGUAAUACGUAGGUGGCAAGCGUUGUCCGGAAUUAUUGGGCGUAAAGGGCUCGCAGGCGGUUUCUUAAGUCUGAUGUGAAAGCCCCCGGCUCAACCGGGGAGGGUCAUUGGAAACUGGGAAACUUGAGUGCAGAAGAGGAGAGUGGAAUUCCACGUGUAGCGGUGAAAUGCGUAGAGAUGUGGAGGAACACCAGUGGCGAAGGCGACUCUCUGGUCUGUAACUGACGCUGAGGAGCGAAAGCGUGGGGAGCGAACAGGAUUAGAUACCCUGGUAGUCCACGCCGUAAACGAUGAGUGCUAAGUGUUAGGGGGUUUCCGCCCCUUAGUGCUGCAGCUAACGCAUUAAGCACUCCGCCUGGGGAGUACGGUCGCAAGACUGAAACUCAAAGGAAUUGACGGGGGCCCGCACAAGCGGUGGAGCAUGUGGUUUAAUUCGAAGCAACGCGAAGAACCUUACCAGGUCUUGACAUCCUCUGACAACCCUAGAGAUAGGGCUUUCCCUUCGGGGACAGAGUGACAGGUGGUGCAUGGUUGUCGUCAGCUCGUGUCGUGAGAUGUUGGGUUAAGUCCCGCAACGAGCGCAACCCUUGAUCUUAGUUGCCAGCAUUCAGUUGGGCACUCUAAGGUGACUGCCGGUGACAAACCGGAGGAAGGUGGGGAUGACGUCAAAUCAUCAUGCCCCUUAUGACCUGGGCUACACACGUGCUACAAUGGACAGAACAAAGGGCUGCGAGACCGCAAGGUUUAGCCAAUCCCACAAAUCUGUUCUCAGUUCGGAUCGCAGUCUGCAACUCGACUGCGUGAAGCUGGAAUCGCUAGUAAUCGCGGAUCAGCAUGCCGCGGUGAAUACGUUCCCG
RNAcentral lists this ribosomal RNA (1150 nucleotides) under Bacillus sp. BAB-705. Its description in RNAcentral is "bacterial SSU rRNA". It matches the Rfam family "Bacterial small subunit ribosomal RNA", at positions 233 to 1376 of the family's 1533-position model. Lineage: Bacteria; Bacillati; Bacillota; Bacilli; Caryophanales; Bacillaceae. The record is from RNAcentral.